This is a long non-coding RNA of Chinchilla lanigera (long-tailed chinchilla), 352 nucleotides long. RefSeq lists it as uncharacterized. Lineage: Eukaryota; Metazoa; Chordata; Mammalia; Rodentia; Chinchillidae. The record is from RefSeq and is a predicted model, not a curated record. The transcript is spliced from 3 exons.
UAAUGGAAAUGGUUUUUUUACUGUAAUAAACUUAAAACUUGACUAUACUUUUCAAGCACAGGUGAGCAUGCAGACCCUUUGAGGUGGUCAGUGGCCAGCACAGGACUUGUCAUCUACAGCUGAGCCUUCUGAGUCCCAGGACGCCCUUCCCCAGACUUUGGAAGAGGCUGCUCCUCCCUGAGCCCGCAGGUCCUCCUGACCUCUUACCCCAGCACCUGGCUCUGUGGACCACCCCCCUCCCCCGUGUGAGCCUCCAGGCAAGGAUGCCCCGCAGACACCGCUGCAGGACUGAGCUGGACCCACAGGUGGCGGACAGAUGUGCUGCGUCCUCACCUAUGCCUGGGAGGUGGAG